This 497-nucleotide ribosomal RNA is filed under the name uncultured bacterium. RNAcentral's name for it is "partial 16S ribosomal RNA". It matches the Rfam family "Bacterial small subunit ribosomal RNA", at positions 28 to 507 of the family's 1533-position model. The record is from RNAcentral.
GAUGAACGCUGGCGGCGUGCCUAAUACAUGCAAGUCGAGCGAACAGACGAGGAGCUUGCUCCUCUGACGUUAGCGGCGGACGGGUGAGUAACACGUGGAUAACCUACCUAUAAGACUGGGAUAACUUCGGGAAACCGGAGCUAAUACCGGAUAAUAUUUUGAACCGCAUGGUUCAAUAGUGAAAGAUGGCUUUGCUGUCACUUAUAGAUGGAUCCGCGCCGCAUUAGCUAGUUGGUAAGGUAACGGCUUACCAAGGCAACGAUGCGUAGCCGACCUGAGAGGGUGAUCGGCCACACUGGAACUGAGACACGGUCCAGACUCCUACGGGAGGCAGCAGUAGGGAAUCUUCCGCAAUGGGCGAAAGCCUGACGGAGCAACGCCGCGUGAGUGAUGAAGGUCUUCGGAUCGUAAAACUCUGUUAUUAGGGAAGAACAAAUGUGUAAGUAACUAUGCACGUCUUGACGGUACCUAAUCAGAAAGCCACGGCUAACUACGUG